Regulatory RNA element from Aeromicrobium sp. Root344, 129 nucleotides. It matches the Rfam family "ALIL pseudoknot". The record is from Rfam. Lineage: Bacteria; Bacillati; Actinomycetota; Actinomycetes; Propionibacteriales; Nocardioidaceae.
GGCUUUUUUCGCGGCGGAGCUCGACCGCCCACGCCGGUUCUGACGGAGUUCGUCACCGCCCACAAGGACGAGUUCGGGGUCGAGCCGAUCUGUGCCGUGCUGACCGAGCACGGCAUGAAGAUCGCCCCG